UCUCCGUAGGUGAACCUGCGGAGGGAUCAUUACAGAGUUCAUGCCCUACCGGGUAGAUCUCCCACCCCAUGUUAUUAUUACUUUGUUGCUUUGGCGGGCCGUUAGGCUCCGGCCCGACUACCGGCCCCGGCUGGUAAGCGCCCGCCAGAGGACCCAAAACCCUGAAUAUUAGUGUCGUCUGAGUACUAUAUAAUAGUUAAAACUUUCAACAACGGAUCUCUUGGUCCUG
Molecule: unclassified non-coding RNA, 229 nt
Filed under: plant metagenome
Description: partial contains small subunit ribosomal RNA, internal transcribed spacer 1, and 5.8S ribosomal RNA
Source: RNAcentral